GACAGAGGGUGCAAACGUUUGUUCGGAAUUACUGGGCGUAAAGCGCGCGUAGGCGGCUUUGUAAGUUAGAGGUGAAAGCCCGGGGCUCAACCCCGGAAUUGCCUUUAAGACUGCAUCGCUUGAAUCCGGGAGAGGUGAGUGGAAUUCCGAGUGUAGAGGUGAAAUUCGUAGAUAUUCGGAAGAACACCAGUGGCGAAGGCGGCUCACUGGACCGGCAUUGACGCUGAGGUGCGAAAGCGUGGGGAGCAAACAGG
This 254-nucleotide ribosomal RNA is filed under the name uncultured bacterium. RNAcentral's name for it is "partial 16S ribosomal RNA". It matches the Rfam family "Bacterial small subunit ribosomal RNA", at positions 524 to 776 of the family's 1533-position model. The record is from RNAcentral.